This 460-nucleotide ribosomal RNA is filed under the name uncultured bacterium. Its description in RNAcentral is "partial 16S ribosomal RNA". It matches the Rfam family "Bacterial small subunit ribosomal RNA", at positions 338 to 795 of the family's 1533-position model. The record is from RNAcentral.
CCUACGGGUGGCUGCAGUGAGGAAUAUUGGUCAAUGGACGAGAGUCUGAACCAGCCAAGUAGCGUGAAGGAUGACUGCCCUAUGGGUUGUAAACUUCUUUUAUAUGGGAAUAAAACGUUCCACGUGUGGGAUUUUGUAUGUACCAUAUGAAUAAGGAUCGGCUAACUCCGUGCCAGCAGCCGCGGUAAUACGGAGGAUCCGAGCGUUAUCCGGAUUUAUUGGGUUUAAAGGGAGCGUAGGUGGACUGUUAAGUCAGUUGUGAAAGUUUGCGGCUCAACCGUAAAAUUGCAGUUGAAACUGGCAGUCUUGAGUACAGUAGAGGUGGGCGGAAUUCGUGGUGUAGCGGUGAAAUGCUUAGAUAUCACGAAGAACUCCGAUUGCGAAGGCAGUUCACUGGACUGCAACUGACACUGAGGCUCGAAAGUGUGGGUAUCAAACAGGAUUAGAUACCCUUGUAGUC